This 761-nucleotide ribosomal RNA is filed under the name uncultured bacterium. RNAcentral describes it as "bacterial SSU rRNA". It matches the Rfam family "Bacterial small subunit ribosomal RNA", at positions 55 to 810 of the family's 1533-position model. The record is from RNAcentral.
AUGCAAGUCGAGCGAAGCGCUUACGACAUAACCUUCGGGGGAAGAUGUAAGGGACUGAGCGGCGGACGGGUGAGUAACGCGUGGGUCACCUGCCUCAUACAGGGGGAUAACAGUUGGAAACGGCUGGCUAUACCGCAUAAGCGCACAGUAUCGCAUGAUACGGUGUGAAAAACUCCGGUGGUAUGAGAUGGACCCGCGUCUGAUUAGCUAGUUGGAGGGGGUAACGGCCCACCAAGGGCGACGAUCGGUGGCCGGCCUGAGAGGGUGAACGGCCCACAUUGGGACUGAGACACGGGCCCAGACUCCUAGGGGAGGCCAGCAGUGGGGAAAUAUUGCACAAUGGGGGAAACCCUGAUGCAGCGACGCCGCGUGAAGGAAGAAGUAUCUCGGUAUGUAAACUUCUAUCAGCAGGGAAGAAAAUGACGGUACCUGACUAAGAAGCCCCGGCUAACUACGUGCCAGCAGCCGCGGUAAUACGUAGGGGGCAAGCGUUAUCCGGAUUUACUGGGUGUAAAGGGAGCGUAGACGGAAGAGCAAGUCUGAUGUGAAAGGCUGGGGCUUAACCCCAGGACUGCAUUGGAAACUGUUUUUCUUGAGUGCCGGAGAGGUAAGCGGAAUUCCUAGUGUAGCGGUGAAAUGCGUAGAUAUUAGGAGGAACACCAGUGGCGAAGGCGGCUUACUGGACGGUAACUGACGUCGAGGCUCGAAAGCGUGGGGAGCAAACAGGAUUACAUACCCUGGUAGUCCACGCCGUAAACGAU